Molecule: ribosomal RNA, 393 nt
Filed under: uncultured bacterium
Lineage: Bacteria
Description: partial 16S ribosomal RNA
Rfam family: Bacterial small subunit ribosomal RNA
Source: RNAcentral
AUACGGAGGAUGCGAGCGUUAUCCGGAUUCAUUGGGUUUAAAGGGUGCGUAGGCUGUUUUUCAAGUCAGAGGUGAAAGCCCGGGGCUUAACUCCGGAACUGCCUUUGAUACUGGGAGGCUUGAAUGCUGUUGCCGUGGGAGGAAUGAGUAGUGUAGCGGUGAAAUGCAUAGAUAUUACUCAGAACACCGAUUGCGAAGGCAGCUCACCGGGCCGGAACUGACACUGAUGCUCGAAAGUGCGGGUAUCAAACAGGAUUAGAUACCCUGGUAGUCCGCACAGUAAACGAUGAAUACUCGCUGUUUGCGAUACACGGUAAGCGGCCAAGCGAAAGCGUUAAGUAUUCCACCUGGGGAGCACGCCGGCAACGGUGAGACUCAAAGGAAUUGACGGGG